Gorilla gorilla gorilla (western lowland gorilla) is the source of this 3537-nucleotide long non-coding RNA. RefSeq lists it as uncharacterized. The transcript has 3 exons. The record is from RefSeq and is a predicted model, not a curated record. Lineage: Eukaryota; Metazoa; Chordata; Mammalia; Primates; Hominidae.
AAUGACCUCAUGUCUUUCUACCUGAAGCCUGCUAUACCAUUUGUUGCACACAACUUCUACAAUCUCUAUGGACUUUACACAAUGUACUUAAUAAUGAAAAGCACUGAAGAGAGAGGAAGAAACAGGGAAAAGGGAGACCAAGUCAUAUCAGGAUUUGAAUUUGAAAAUCAUCCAGGAAAUCAGGUAAGAAGGUGGAACGUCUUGCUCACUAGAGAACUGUGAUGCAAACAUUCAGAACACUUUCUCCACACUUUGUACCUCAAACCCUACUGUGUGCGGUGACCAACACUGGUAGAUCAGCAAAUCUGAUGGCACUACCACUCAAAGAGACGCAAAAUACAACUGUGAUGGUUAAUACCGAGUGCCAACUUGAUUGGACUGAAGAUUUACUGACUUCAUAUCGGCAUUUAAGUAUUGUUAACUUUAUGGUAUAGUAUUUGGGUUGGGGAUUUGUGCGUUUCUGGCUGUACGAAGGAUAGUUGUAUUAUGUUAGGCAUAACUAUGACCUUAUUAUUUUCUUUAUUUGAAGAUUAAGUAUGAUCUCAGGAGAUGAGUAUGGGUUCAAGUUGACAAAGGGUGGACUUACGAAGGUUAAUACUGAGUGACAACUUCAUUGGAUUGAAGGAUACAAAGUAUUGAUCCUGGGUGUGUCUGUGAGGAUAUUGCCGAAAGAGAUUAAUAUUUGAGUCAGUGGGUUGGGGAUAGCAGAUCCACCCUUAAUCUGGUGGCCACAAUCUAAUCAGCUGCUAGCGAAUAUAAAGCAGGCAGGAAAACGUGAAGAGGUGAGAUGGCCUAGCCUCCCAGACUACAUCUUUCUUCUGUGCUGGAUGCUUCCUGUCCUCAAACAUCAAACUCUGAGUUCUUCAGUUUUGGGACUCGAACUGGCUCUCCUUGAUCCUCAGCUUGCAGACAGCCUAUUGUGGGAGCUUGUGAUCAUAUAAGUUAAUACUUAAUAAACUAUUAACUUACAUAUAUAUCCUAUUAGUUCUGUCCCUCUAGAGAACCCUGACUAAUACAACAACCCGUUCUCAUCAUUUCUAUAACAGCUACACUGGUCCCUGCCAUCACAUGGAACUUUGUCUUAGUUUUUGCUUUUGCUCUCUUCCCUUUUGUCUAUUGCCUGUAUAGCAGCUGUGUAAUCCAGAAUAAAAACAUAAAUGAGAUUAUGUUACUCCUUUUCUCAAUGCAUUUCACUGAGAGUUGAAUGCAAAGUUCUUAACCUAGCCCACAAGGCUGCACAUGCUUGAAUGUCUCACAGCCUCUCUGAUCUCAUUUCCUAUCAUUUUUCUCCUCACUCGCUCUGUUCUAACCAUACUAGCUUAUCUCCCAUUCCUUGUACUUACUGAGUGCAUUCCUACUACAAAGGCUUUGCACUUGUUCUCUUUCCCUGAGAAGUGCUCCUUUGUAUAAUCAUGGGGCUCAUUCCAUGACUUCCUUCAGUGCUCUGCUCAGAUAUCACCUUUCCUAAGAUGCCUUCCUUGGUCACUCCAUAUACAAUAGCUGCCAGUCAUUCUUCAUUGUCCCUAUUCUGCUUUAUUUUUGUCAUAGCACUUAUCACAUCUGACAUAAUAUUUACUGAUUUUUUGUUUUAUUAUUUUCCUUCACUAGAAUAUUGGCUCCAUGAGGGUAGGGACAUUGAUCACUUUGGUCACUGCUGAAUCCCCAAGGCUUGGAACAUUCUGAAACACAGCUCUCAGUAAAAUUUUGUUGAAUCAUUGUAUUGUUAAAAAAGAAGAAAACUUAUUUUAGUCUUCAGACCCACUGAAUGAGGUACAUAUUGAACAUUAUCUCCCUCUACCUUGUAGGUGAAAAAUUAAGGCCCAGCAAAGCUAAGUAAGUUUUGGAGUUUAUUCAAAUGCAACUGCUUCUGGCUUUUAUUAUUACUGUUAUUAUUGGUUUUAAUUCUAGCCACUAUGCAAUGGUGACUCCUGCUGACUGAGCAGGCUUGCUGGGAAAAACAAAUGAGAUAAAGUGAAAAUAUCAACAGGCACAAUAUCUGGUAUACUUUUGGUGCUAGACCACUCUCUAUUUCUCUUCCUUUCACAUGAUUUCUUUUUACAUUUCUUUUAAUGUUUAAAUAUUAUAUUUUAUAUGUGCUUUUUAUUGUACACUGAUACAAAUUGCCUUUGUACAUAAGAAUGUUUAAAAAUUAUGAGUUACAGUAUGGGCAUCAUAGUGAGACCCUUACUUUAUCAAAAAUAAAAAAAUAAUAAUUAGCCUGUUAUGGUGGCAUGUGCUUGUAGUGCUAACUACUUGGGAGGCUGAGGUGGCAGAGUCGCUUGAGCCCAGGAGUUGAGGCUACUGUGAGCUAUGAUUGUGUCACUGUACUCCAACCUGGGUGGCAGAGCAAGAUUCUGUCUCAAAAAAAAAUUUUGUGAAUUAACAAAUUAGCAUUGACUUAUUUUUAUUAGAAAGGUCUUCUAUUGUAAAAUAUACUCAUGGUAUGUACACAAGACUAGACAAAGUCAGUUCUGGAACAAAAAAUAGUGUAAUACCUCUGAUCAUGAGUGUGCCUCACAGUCUUAGUCAAAUAGUAGUUUUACAGAAGAUAUUUUGAAAGACCAAACCAUUUCAUAGGUUGUUCAGAAAGUGUCAUUAAAUGUUAUACAAAAUAGAACAAAUGUGUCCUGGGAUAAAACCUAGAAAUAACCUGCAGUCAUUACACUGUCACUUCUCUGCCUCCAAGCCUGUGCUAUAAAAUUCGAUAAAAAGAGCACUGCAAAAUAGAAAUGAAAAAGUUUGAAUUCUCUCUUAUAGUUCUAUUCUAAAGUGAAGUAUAAAGUACAUAUUCUUUGGAAAAGAGGACCAGGUGAUAUAAGAAUUCCAGAGGAGGGCAGCAAAGAUAAAGAUUAACUCAGGUGAAAAGAACAGAGAAUCUUACUUUACAAAUCCAGUAAAUUUUCACAAUAGUAAGCGUUCUUAUGGUGGAGCAUCCCUUACCAUUCUGUUAUUCAUUGGUUUGCUAAAAUGAAGAAAUAUGAAACCACACAUAAUUAACCUCUUUAUCUUAAUCUGUUUCUGUAUCCAUUUAAGUAUAUUUGGAAGGCCUAUAGUUGUUUGCACUUCUAAAGAAUAUUAUGGUAGAGUUAUCACAGCUGGAGCUUAUAUGACUUAAUUUAGUCUUUUAUUCAGCAGAUAUUUAUUGACUGUCCACUAUGUGCAUUGCGUUAGAUGGUAGGGAUAUGACGUUUAAUUUCAUUGGAAAAAUAAUGCCUAAUUUCUUAAAGCUUUUACCUGGUUAGUGAAUUAUUUAUAAAUUGAAGUGCAUUGGCAGUUAUACCCAUUGAUAGCAUUGUCACUAUUCACUUAUAAUCUGAUAUGAAAAUGGAAUGAAGUUACAGCUGGCAGACCAGAACUUGUGUUUAACUCUGAACAUACCUAUAGGAAAGCAUGAUAUUUAGAGCAAAAACAUAAACAGCUUAAGAAUGGGGUUUUGUAAAAUACUUACCUUUGGUUCUAAUUUGUGUCUGUGUCACUAGAUGAUAGACUGGUUCUGGUGAAAAAAAAUAGACUAAAUAAAAUACUUUGAUAAAAACA